GUAUUUUAAUUAUAUAUACUAGUAUAGUAAUAUAUAUUGCAGAUCAUUUCUAUAGCUGAUGAUGGUGAUAUCAAUCUCAAAAUACUGAUAUAUCACAUCGUCUGCUUCGUUCUCCAUUUCCAAACACUUCUCUCUCUGUGUGUCGAGGUUUCUGCAAUGGAAAGUAUGGCACAAGGACGAUUUGAAGGGUGGGAGAUUCAUGGUUUCCGUACAAUGGAAGAUUUGGAUAUUGGCAACAUAAUGGAGGAAGCUAAAGCAAGAUGGCUCCGGCCAAAUGAGAUUUAUGCAAUUCUCUGUAACUAUAGAUAUUUCAGCAUCAAUGUCAAGCCAGUGAACUUGCCAAAAAGUGGCAGAAUUGUUUUGUUUGACCGUAAGAUGCUCAGGAACUUUAGAAAAGACGGACAUAACUGGAAGAAGAAAAAGGAUGGUAAAACCGUUAAAGAAGCUCAUGAACACUUAAAAGUUGGUAAUGAAGAAAGGAUCCAUGUAUAUUAUGCUCAUGGCCAAGAUGAACCGACCUUCGUUCGCAGAUGUUAUUGGCUUCUUGAUAAGACUCUGGAACACAUAGUCCUCGUCCAUUAUCGUGAAACCCAAGAGAUGCAGGGUUCUCCAGCCACACCUGUGAAUUCAAAUUCUAGUUCAGCCCUCUCUGACCCAUCCGCAUCUUGGCUUUUAUCAGAAGAAACUAAUUCUGGGGCUGAUCAGGUGUCUUAUACUAGCGAGAAAGCAGAGUUAGAGCCUGGGGACAGUAUGACCAUCAAAAAUCAUGAAACGAGACUUCAAGAGAUAAAUACAUUGGAAUGGGAAGAGCUUUUGGGGCCAGAUGAUCCCAACAAAUCUAAUACACCCGGAGGAGGUGGAAGAACUGCAUGCUUUGGGCAACAGAAUCAAUAUCAUAUAAAUGGAUGCAAAACUAAUGGAAACUUCCCGUCAACUUACCAGUUACCUAUUGAAAAUUCUUCUUUGGAGUAUCUCAUUGACCCAGUUCCCAGAAGUAAUGGUGUAAAUUUCAAUAUAUCGGACAGUGAUUGCUUUCAAAGGAUGGCAGGUCAGAUGAAUUCAAAUCUGCAGAGAAAGGAUUCUGCACCUGUGACAGUAGGCCAGUGUGAUUCCUUAGACAUGCUGAUCAAGGAUGGUUUGCAAACUCAAGACAGUUUUGGCAGGUGGAUGAACUACAUCAUUACUGAUUCUGGAGAAUCAGUAGACUAUCCAAUUCGAGAAUCUUCAAUUUCAACUGGUCACAAAUCAUUUACGUCUCCAAUAAUGGAUUAUCAUCAGUCAUCUGUUGAAGAGCAGAUAUUCAGUAUUACUGCUGUCUAUCCUGAAUGGGCUUUUUCAACUGAAGAAACAAAGAUUCUGGUGAUUGGAUAUUUUCGUGAAGAGCAUCCACCUCUUGUGAUGUCCAAUCUGUAUUGUGUCUGCGGAAAUGCACGUGUUCCUGCAGAAAUGGUCCAACCUGGGGUGUUCCGCUGUUUGGUUUCACCACAUGCUCCAGGAUUAGUAAAUUUUUAUUUGAGUUCUGAUGGCCAGAAACCCAUAAGCCAAGUUCUGACCUUUGAGUAUCGUGCUCCUCUAAUGCAUGACCGGAUUGUUUGUUCAGAUGAUAAGUCUAAGUGGGAAGAGUUUGAAGUUCAGAUGAGGCUUGCUCAAUUACUCUUCUCUAGAUCUAAGAGCCUUAAUAUCUUAUCUAGUGAAGUAUCACAAAAUGCCCUGAAGCAAGCCAAAAUAUUUGCCCGCAAAACCGCCCACAUUGCUGAUAGUUGGGCUGAUAUGAUAAAGUCAAUUGGAAGUACUAAAAACUCAUUUCCACAAGCAAAAGAUAGCUUGUUUGAGCUCACUCUGAAGAGCAAAUUACAGGAAUGGCUGUUGGAAAGAAUAGUUGAAGGGUCUAAAAUCUCUGACCAUGAUGAUCAAGGUCAAGGAGUAAUCCAUUUGUGUGCUAUCCUAGGAUAUACGUGGGCUGUGAAUCCAUUUCUGUUGUCAGGCUUAUCAUUGGAUUAUCGGGACAAAUUUGGAUGGACAGCUCUUCAUUGGGCUGCAUAUUAUGGAAGGGAGAAAAUGGUUGCGACUCUUCUCUCUGCAGGAGCAAAACCAAACUUGGUCACGGACCCCACUUCAGCAAACCCUGGCGGAUUCACUGCAGCUGAUGUUGCUUCUAAGAAGGGUUAUGAUGGUUUAGCAGCUUAUCUUGCAGAAAGGGGUCUAGUGGAACAUUUCAAGGAUAUGAAAAUAGCUGGAAAUGUCAGUGGCUCACUCCAAACCAGCACUACCGAUUCAGCCAACCAUAAUAACUACAGCGAAGAGGAGCUGUAUCUGAAGGAUACUCUGGCAGCUUAUCGGACUGCAGCCGAUGCAGCGGCACGUAUACAGGCUGCAUUCAGGGAGCACUCGCUUAAGCUACAGACACAGGCGGUUCAGUUAUCAAAUCCUGAGAAUGAGGCACGCAAUAUAGUUGCAGCAAUGAAAAUUCAGAAUGCCUUCCGCAACUACGAUACACGAAAAAAGAUUACAGCUGCUGCCCGAAUUCAAUAUACAUUCCGUACUUGGAAGAUCCGGAAAGAUUUUCUCAAUAUGCGUCGUCAUGCCAUCAAAAUUCAGGCUGUUUUCCGGGGCUUCCAAGUCCGGAGGCAGUAUGGGAAGAUUAUUUGGUCAGUUGGUGUGCUUGAAAAAGCAAUCUUACGCUGGCGUUUGAAGAGAAAAGGUUUCCGUGGGCUUAAUGUUUGCCCUGUUGAAGCUGUCAAAGAUCAGAAGCAAGAAAAUGAUGUGGAGGAGGACUUCUUCCGUGCCAGCAGGAAACAAGCUGAAGAGCGUGUUGAAAGGUCUGUUGUUCGGGUCCAAGCCAUGUUUCGUUCCAAGAGAGCACAACAAGACUAUCGGAGGAUGAAGUUGGCCCAUAAUCAAGCCAGGAUGGAGUAUGAAGAGCUUCCUGAUACUGACAUGGGAUAGGAGAAUACUUGAGUUUUGCCACAGCUCUGGCAGUGCGUACUUAGGAAUCUAAACAGCUACAAUGACACCAGCGAGGGAAUGUUUUUCCCAAUGACAGGAUCUUCUUUCCCCAUUGUUGUGCUUCCAUUUUAUCUUAGGAUUACUAUGUUACAGUGCAUGAGCUUGGCAUCCUCUCCAUGAUACCACCAGUUUACUGAAUUUCUCACCUUUUAAAGCAGCUGAUGAGGGACCAUUUCUUCCAACUCCCUCCUCCUCAGUGGUAAACUUACAAUAGCCUUUUACUGCUUGCCCGAGAUUUUCGUACUUUCAAUGUUUUAGGGGCUUCCAUUGAAAGAUAUCAGGCUGCAAAUAUUUCUCUAGUUGUUUUACAAUGUUAUUUCCUUUAAUUUCUCUUUCGUUUGCCAGGGAAGCUGUUCCUGGCCCCAGUGACUGGGCAUAGAUCUUUGCAAAGGAUUUUGACUGAUAACAAAAAAGACUUGGAUUUAAAAAAUGAUUCAACACCAAAAAAUUAGGCGGAGCUUCAUUGUUAGGUAGAGGUGCUGCUUUCUUUCCCUACAUGUUCUUUUAGGUACCCAACGUGAUUAUGUGACGCUCCCUGGUCUGUUGAACUCAUGAACAGUUGUACCAUAUGUAUGAGUUGUCUGAAGGUGUUUGAUGGCUAAUGUAUAUUCCUUAUACGAGUGUGACAGGGCCAACCUUUCCACCAAGGGGUUGUUUUGUUUGUCAACUUCCUUCGUGUGGGUUGAGCAUUCAGCUAAACCUGAGAUUGCUCUUCGUUUCUCUCCAUGAACAUGUUCCAAUGUCCAUAUAACACUCUCCUUCAAAAGGCAACAUGCGUGGUUUAUUUGCAACCCACCUCUUCUUCAAGAUUAGGAACCAAAAGUCCACCUAGGGAGACUUGAAUUAGUGCAUCUCCUUGGUCCAGUUACUUUUUCGACAUAUAUACGGUUUUGACAAAAUGUCAUCCUGGGGGAGGGCAUAACAUCAAUGGAAGCCUUUUCUUCUUAACUACUUGGAAUGUAACUACACGAAUCUUAUGUUUUCAUUCUGUUCAUCCGAGAGGAGCGCGUUUAACUACUUGGAAACCUCGAAUCAUUAGCAUUGACAAAGAUAAUGAAAUGUACAGCCAUCUAUUUUGAAAUCAAACUGGAUGCUUUUGUCAUGAAAAA
RNA transcript from Cornus florida, 4115 nucleotides. It is a transcript of the gene named calmodulin-binding transcription activator 5-like, with no coding region annotated. The transcript has 16 exons. The record is from RefSeq and is a predicted model, not a curated record. Lineage: Eukaryota; Viridiplantae; Streptophyta; Magnoliopsida; Cornales; Cornaceae.